Molecule: ribosomal RNA, 497 nt
Filed under: uncultured bacterium
Lineage: Bacteria
Description: partial 16S ribosomal RNA
Rfam family: Bacterial small subunit ribosomal RNA
Source: RNAcentral
GAUGAACGCUGGCGGCGUGCCUAAUACAUGCAAGUCGAGCGAACGGACGAGGAGCUUGCUCCUCUGACGUUAGCGGCGGACGGGUGAGUAACACGUGGAUAACCUACCUAUAAGACUGGGAUAACUUCGGGAAACCGGAGCUAAUACCGGAUAAUAUAUUGAACCGCAUGGUUCAAUAGUGAAAGACGGUUUUGCUGUCACUUAUAGAUGGAUCCGCGCCGCAUUAGCUAGUUGGUAAGGUAACGGCUUACCAAGGCAAAGAUGCGUAGCCGACCUGAGAGGGUGAUCGGCCACACUGGAACUGAGACACGGUCCAGACUCCUACGGGAGGCAGCAGUAGGGAAUCUUCCGCAAUGGGCGAAAGCCUGACGGAGCAACGCCGCGUGAGUGAUGAAGGUCUUCGGAUCGUAAAACUCUGUUAUUAGGGAAGAACAAAUGUGUAAGUAACUAUGCACGUCUUGACGGUACCUAAUCAGAAAGCCACGGCUAACUACGUG